CUAAAUGAUCGCGGCUGCAUGACCGAAAGGGUGCAGGUGAGGAAAGUCCGGGCUUCGCAGGGCAGGAUGCCGGAUAACGUCCGGUGGAGGUGACUCCAAGGAAAGUGCAACAGAGAUAUACCGCCCGUUUUGCUGCGGAAGUUCCGCGGCCGGCAGCGCACGUUUGUGCCUGUUCGUACGGGUAAGGGUGGAAAGGCGGUGUAAGAGACCACCGUUGGCCUGGUAACAGGCCAAGCCAUGUAAACCCCAUCCGAAGCAAGACCGCACAUAAGGCGAUACGGCGGCCCGUCGUGCUUUAGGGUAGGUCGCUUGAGCCUGCUGGUGACAGCAGGCCUAGAUAGAUGAUCAUUCACGACAUAACCCGGCUUAUCGGCAGGCUCGU
Molecule: RNase P RNA, 382 nt
Filed under: uncultured Catenibacillus sp.
Lineage: Bacteria; Bacillati; Bacillota; Clostridia; Lachnospirales; Lachnospiraceae
Description: Bacterial RNase P class A
Rfam family: Bacterial RNase P class A
About the family: Ribonuclease P (RNase P) is a ubiquitous endoribonuclease, found in archaea, bacteria and eukarya as well as chloroplasts and mitochondria. Its best characterised activity is the generation of mature 5'-ends of tRNAs by cleaving the 5'-leader elements of precursor-tRNAs.
Source: RNAcentral